CGGACGGGUGAGUAAUGUCUGGGAAACUGCCCGAUGGAGGGGGAUAACUACUGGAAACGGUAGCUAAUAUCGCAUAACGUCGCAAGACCAAAGAGGGGACCUUCGGGCCUCUUGCCAUCGGAUGUGCCCAGAUGGGAUUAGCUAGUAGGUGGGGUAACGGCUCACCUAGGCGACGAUCCCUAGCUGGUCUGAGAGGAUGACCAGCCACACUGGAACUGAGACACGGUCCAG
This 231-nucleotide ribosomal RNA is filed under the name uncultured bacterium. RNAcentral's name for it is "partial 16S ribosomal RNA". It matches the Rfam family "Bacterial small subunit ribosomal RNA", at positions 99 to 334 of the family's 1533-position model. The record is from RNAcentral.